Molecule: ribosomal RNA, 490 nt
Filed under: Podarkeopsis arenicolus
Lineage: Eukaryota; Metazoa; Annelida; Polychaeta; Phyllodocida; Hesionidae
Description: partial 16S ribosomal RNA
Rfam family: Bacterial large subunit ribosomal RNA
Source: RNAcentral
GCCCAGUGAAAACUUAAACGGCCGCGGUACCCUGACCGUGCAAAGGUAGCAUAAUAACUCGCCUCCUAACUAGAGGCUGGAAUCAACGAACACACGUGAGCUAAGCUGUCUCUAUAGAACACAAAAAACUUAACCUUCAAGUGAAAAGGCUUGAAUUCCCCUAAUAGACAAGAAGACCCUAUCGAGCUUUAUUAUAAGUUAGCAAAAUGAGCAAUAAAUUCACCCGUUUUUAUCUAAUCUCUAAUUUAGUUGGGGCAACCAAGGAACACCAAAAACUUCCUCUUAUCUAUUUAAAAACCCACGACCCAAUACAUUUGAUCAAAGGAAUAAGCUACCGUAGGGAUAACAGGUUAAUUUUUUUCGAGAGUCCACAUUGACAAAAAAGUUUGACACCUCGAUGUUGGCUUAGGUUAUCCUUUUAGUGCAGAAGCUAAAAAAAGGUGGGUUUGUUCAACCCAUAAAAAAACCUACGUGAUCUGAGUUCAAGACC